This 267-nucleotide long non-coding RNA is filed under the name Elaeis guineensis (African oil palm). RNAcentral describes it as "long non-coding RNA (EGUI_LNC076592)". The record is from RNAcentral. Lineage: Eukaryota; Viridiplantae; Streptophyta; Magnoliopsida; Arecales; Arecaceae.
CCCCUAUAUUUUUUUUUCUUGCUAUUCUUCUUCCAUUUUCUUCUUUUAUAUUUCACCUGUUCGGUUUUUUGCGAGCAUCUCAUUUCUUAUUGUUCCCAAUUUUUUUUGGGAUUUUUAGGAUUUUCACUUGAUUCAAAAUAUCCUCCAACACUUCCUCCUCUAGCAGUUCUAGGAGUCCGUCUGUUCCAGCCCCCCAAAGCCUCAGUUCUGUAGAUGAACCUCAUCCGGUCUUUGUACCAAACAUCAUCCCCAGCUCUUUGACUUCGG